Molecule: ribosomal RNA, 945 nt
Filed under: uncultured eukaryote
Lineage: Eukaryota
Description: SSU rRNA
Rfam family: Eukaryotic small subunit ribosomal RNA
Source: RNAcentral
GGCUCUUUUGGGUCUUGUAAUUGGAAUGAGUACAAUUUAAAUCUCUUAACGAGGAACAAUUGGAGGGCAAGUCUGGUGCCAGCAGCCGCGGUAAUUCCAGCUCCAAUAGCGUAUAUUAAAGUUGUUGUGGUUAAAAAGCUCGUAGUUGAACCUUGGGCCUGGCUGGCCGGUCCGCCUCACCGCGUGUACUGGUCCGGCCGGGCCUUUCCCUCUGUGGAACCUCAUGCCCUUCACUGGGUGUGGCGGGGAAACAGGACUUUUACUUUGAAAAAAUUAGAGUGCUCCAGGCAGGCCUAUGCUCGAAUACAUUAGCAUGGAAUAAUAAAAUAGGACGUGUGGUUCUAUUUUGUUGGUUUCUAGGACCGCCGUAAUGAUUAAUAGGGACAGUCGGGGGCAUCAGUAUUCAAUUGUCAGAGGUGAAAUUCUUGGAUUUAUUGAAGACUAACUACUGCGAAAGCAUUUUGCCAAGGAUGUUUUCAAUUAAUCAGGAACGAAAGUUAGGGGAUCGAAGACGAUCAGAUACCGUCGUAGUCUUAACCAUAAACUAUGCCGACUAGGGAUCGGACGAUGUUAUUUUUUGACGCGUUCGGCACCUUACGAGAAAUCAAAGUGCUUGGGCUCCAGGGGGAGUAUGGUCGCAAGGCUGAAACUUAAAGAAAUUGACGGAAGGGCACCACCAGGGGUGGAGCCUGCGGCUUAAUUUGACUCAACACGGGGAAACUCACCAGGUCCAGACACAAUGAGGAUUGACAGAUUGAGAGCUCUUUCUUGAUUUUGUGGGUGGUGGUGCAUGGCCGUUCUUAGUUGGUGGAGUGAUUUGUCUGCUUAAUUGCGAUAACGAACGAGACCUUAACCUGCUAAAUAGCCUGUAUUGCUUUGGCAGUACACCGGCUUCUUAGAGGGACUAUCGGCUCAAGCCGAUGGAAGUUUGAGGCAAUAACAGGU